Mustela erminea (ermine) is the source of this 782-nucleotide long non-coding RNA. RefSeq lists it as uncharacterized. NCBI's taxonomy places the organism in Eukaryota, Metazoa, Chordata, Mammalia, Carnivora, Mustelidae. The record is from RefSeq and is a predicted model, not a curated record. The transcript has 3 exons.
UAAAUGAUCUAGGACAGAUUUUAAAAUGUAUACAACUUGCUGUAAUUUAACAAAAAAAAAAAAACCCCUAUUUUUAAUGCUUUAAGGAAGGUAAAGACACUGUGAGGGGAAUAAUAAUGCAGAGAUUAAUUCCCAGACAGGGAAGGAAUGGUAUAUGUGUUGGACAGAAACUGAGGAGGGGGGGAUUUGGAGGGAAAAUAUCUGAGGUACAGAAAAAGUAAAUGGGCAAGCACAACAAGACUGGAGAAAGAAAAAAACCUUUAAAAAGGGUUAGAAGAUUUAGAAGCCUUCAUGGGAGGAAGAGGUGAGAUUAGACUUCAUUGUGGAAAGACUUAAAUGCUAACCUAAGGAAUGUGGACUUUAUUCUUAGGUAACAGAGAGAAAAAAAAAAAAACAAAACAACAACAACAACAAAGAAUGCAAAAGAAUGCUGAGAUUGGAGGAACAAUCUUUAGGAAGAUGAACUUACCAGCAAUGUGAGAAGAGAUAGCUAAUUCUGCUUACAUUACUGGAAUGGGAAUGUCCAGCACUAACAAGCAACAAAGGAUGAGACAAUGAAGGAACUUAAACACCUUGUGACAAAUACCUCUGGGAGCUGGCAUGUCUGGACUCUUGGAACCCUAGUCUAUUUGACUGGCCUACAAAGUGCACCCUGUAUUUUUCAGAUUUCCAAAAACCAGGACAAAGAGAGAAGCAGCAAAGAGCCUUGGCUUGUGGCCUGACUAUAUCCUACCAUUAGCCUCUGUCCAGAAAGAAUUGCGAAAAAAACAAGGAAACAAACA